This 238-nucleotide ribosomal RNA is filed under the name uncultured bacterium. Its description in RNAcentral is "partial 16S ribosomal RNA". It matches the Rfam family "Bacterial small subunit ribosomal RNA", at positions 116 to 354 of the family's 1533-position model. The record is from RNAcentral.
CGUGAGUAACCUGCCUUGGAUGGGGAAUAACACAUCGAAAGAUGUGCUAAUACCGCAUAAUGCAGUUGGGCCGCAUGGCUCUGACUGCCAAAGAUUUAUCGCUCUGAGAUGGACUCGCGUCUGAUUAGCUGGUUGGCGGGGUAACGGCCCACCAAGGCGACGAUCAGUAGCCGGACUGAGAGGUUGACCGGCCACAUUGGGACUGAGACACGGCCCAGACUCCUACGGAAGGCAGCAG